RNAcentral lists this long non-coding RNA (227 nucleotides) under Gossypium barbadense (sea-island cotton). RNAcentral's name for it is "long non-coding RNA (GBAR_LNC003946)". Lineage: Eukaryota; Viridiplantae; Streptophyta; Magnoliopsida; Malvales; Malvaceae. The record is from RNAcentral.
UCAUUUUCUUAGACUUUCUGCAGAAAGAUUUAAAAUUUAACAGCCAGGAAAUGAUGGAACAUGAAUGCAACAUGCUAUGAUUCGAUAGUUGUUAGAAGUGAAUAACUCAAGUUAAAUGGCUGUUUUUAGAGUUAGAUUGACUUGCUAAGCAAGUCAGUCUCCAACCCAGUUGACACCCAGAAAAUAAAGAAUAAGAAAAGAAACCAGGAAAAGGGCAAACCAGAAAC